Delphinapterus leucas (beluga whale) is the source of this 753-nucleotide non-coding RNA. The record is from RefSeq and is a predicted model, not a curated record. NCBI's taxonomy places the organism in Eukaryota, Metazoa, Chordata, Mammalia, Artiodactyla, Monodontidae.
CUCCGCGGCAUGUGGGAUCUUCUCGGACCAGGGCACGAACCCGUAUCCCUUGCAUCGGCAGGCGGACUCUCAACCACUGCGCCACCAGGGAAGGUCUCCCCCGACUUUUUAAAGGCCUGAAGUGGGUUCUGUCCUCUCAGGCCGAGAGUUUCCUAGUCUGGGGGCUCUUCUCGCAGAACUCACCCACGCAGACUCCCCUCAGCCGCUGUUGGAAAAGGAGACUGAGGUGCAGUAAAAGGAAGUGAUUUUCGAAGGACACACUGGUCAUGAGAGUUGAUCUCUUAUUUCUGGAUAUUUGGCACUCAAGGACAGUGGAAGCAUGAACUUAUCAAACCAUACUGACCAAAAGUUCUGGCCCUGGAAUCUUCCCAUUGACUAACCAUUUAAUCAUCCAUCCAUUCAUUCAAUAAAGGAACUGAAGGUCUGUGAGGUGAAGAAAACUGCCCAAAGAUUUACAAUUGUCCCAUUCCGUCUCACCCAGGACCCCACAAGCUUCCAUGUCAUCUGCUCCUGACAUCCAAGCAUCAACAUCAUCAUGGCUCAACGAUCCAGGACCACCUGAAGCCAAUGAUUCUCCUUCUGAUGUAUCAUCAGAAGGUCAACAGGAGCAUAACACUACGUCAGGAUGCCUAUAUCAUUCACCUCACUUCAUCUUAUCAUGUAGACAUUUUAUCAUCUCACAUCAUCACAGGAAGAAGAAGGGUGAAUAAGACUAUAUAACAAUUUGAUAGAUAUGAAGACUGAGGCUGAGAG